GAUGAACGCUGGCGGCGUGCCUAAUACAUGCAAGUCGAGCGAACGGACGAGAAGCUUGCUUUUCUGAUGUUAGCGGCGGACGGGUGAGUAACACGUGGAUAACCUACCUAUAAGAGUGGGAUAACUUCGGGAAACCGGAGCUAAUACCGGAUAAUAUUUUGAACCGCAUGGUUCAAAAGUGAAAGACGGUCUUGCUGUCACUUAUAGAUGGAUCCGCGCUGCAUUAGCUAGUUGGUAAGGUAACGGCUUACCAAGGCAACGAUGCAUAGCCGAACUGAGAGGGUGAUAGGCCACACUGGAACUGAGCCACCGUCCAGACUCCUACGGGAGGCAGCAGUAGGGAAUCUUCCGCAGUGGGCGAAAGCCUGACGCAGCAACCCCGCGUGAGUGAUGAAGGUCUUGGGAUCGUAAAACCGUGUUAUGAGGGAAGAACAUAUGUGUCCGUAGCUGUGCACAUCUUGACGGUAACUAGUCAGAAAGCACCGGCUAACUACGUG
This 497-nucleotide ribosomal RNA is filed under the name uncultured bacterium. RNAcentral describes it as "partial 16S ribosomal RNA". It matches the Rfam family "Bacterial small subunit ribosomal RNA", at positions 28 to 507 of the family's 1533-position model. The record is from RNAcentral.